UCCUAUGAGAGGCACUGUGGCCUGAUGGAUAGGGAGCUGGCCUCAGAGUCUAGAAGGCUUAGGCCCAAGGCCUGCCUCUGACACAUAUCAGCUAUGUGACUGUGGGUGAGUGAUUAAAACUCUCAGUGACCCAGACAGCUCUCUAACUGUAGGUUAUAGAGGUGCUCAUCUGUAUCAGUAGAGGAAACUUCCACACUUGGAGUCACUCACAUCAACGAGCUCACAGGCUGCACACAGGAUUCCCUGGUAUUCCCUAUCUGACCUCCCUCCAAGUCUCACAUCAGUGAUUCCCGCUUCUAAGCUCUAUUCUCUGAUGCCUUUCUUGUUGACAUCUCUCUCUGCUUCUUCAGUCAACAAUCACUCAGUCCCAAGCAAGGCUACUUCCGAUGUAUGAAUUCCAGUGCUAGAGUGAGCUUCCAGGAUGAAGAAUUUUCUAAGGAAUGGUGGAAGAAGUCCAAAGUGCAGCCUGGAAAGAAGUUACUAUCCAGGAGCUGAGACACUCAGGUUGGGGACCAGGCCUCAGCUUCCCCAAAGGCCCUGGCUCCCCCAGUCAGUCAGCGACAGCCAUACCCACUGCAUCUUGAGAGACCCUUAGUCCAAAGUGAAUGACAUGGGGGAGAAGGAACCAGAAUGGGAGUAGAUGUGAGUCCAGGCACAACCUCUCCUGGCUUCCAGGGGACUCGUCACCUGGACAGCAGAAGCUACUGGGAGAGGAUGUGCCUUCUCCAGGUGGCCUGGACCAAGAAAGAAAAUAAGAAGGUUUUUAAGAAACUAUCCCAUGUGAGAGCUAUGUAGAGGCCAUGGAUGACCCCCCUUCACUCCCCCUCCCAAGC
Molecule: non-coding RNA, 833 nt
Organism: Phascolarctos cinereus (koala)
Lineage: Eukaryota; Metazoa; Chordata; Mammalia; Diprotodontia; Phascolarctidae
Source: RefSeq, a predicted model, not a curated record